GGAUCUCGCGAGAGCGGGGCGGGGCCGCGGGGCGCUGCGAAGGGGAGUGAUUGAGGGGUGAGUGUUACCUCACGGAGCGCUGCUUUACCUCCAGAAUGUGCUUCAUGCCUCUGAACAUGGGCAGUCUGAGCAGUGCAUGCAGCUGGUUGAAUAAUAUAUAUCAACCUGAAAUCUGCUAAAAGGAAAGUCUGGAACAGCAUAGGUAUUUGGUGUCCUGAAGAUAUAUGUGGAUGAUUUUGGUUUUUAUUUUUUAUUUUUUAAAUUUUUUUAAAUAAAACUAUUUCUUCGCCUUUAUGCAACAUAGUGA
Molecule: long non-coding RNA, 307 nt
Organism: Cyanistes caeruleus (blue tit)
Lineage: Eukaryota; Metazoa; Chordata; Aves; Passeriformes; Paridae
Source: RefSeq, a predicted model, not a curated record